AUUGAACGCUGGCGGCAUGCUUUACACAUGCAAGUCGAACGGUAACAGGCCUUCGGGUGCUGACGAGUGGCGAACGGGUGAGUAAUGCAUCGGAACGUGCCCAGAGGUGGGGGAUAACGCAGCGAAAGCUGUGCUAAUACCGCAUGUGAUCUUAGGAUGAAAGCGGGGGACCAGGCAGCAAUGUUUGGCCUCGCGCCUUUGGAGCGGCCGAUGUCAGAUUAGGUAGUUGGUGGGGUAAAGGCCUACCAAGCCGACGAUCUGUAGCUGGUCUGAGAGGACGACCAGCCACACUGGGACUGAGACACGGCCCAGACUCCUACGGGAGGCAGCAGUGGGGAAUUUUGGACAAUGGGCGCAAGCCUGAUCCAGCAAUGCCGCGUGCGGGAAGAAGGCCUUCGGGUUGUAAACCGCUUUUGUACGGAACGAAAAGGCUCUGGCUAAUACCUGGGGCUGAUGACGGUACCGUAAGAAUAAGCACCGGCUAACUACGUG
RNAcentral lists this ribosomal RNA (492 nucleotides) under uncultured bacterium. Its description in RNAcentral is "partial 16S ribosomal RNA". It matches the Rfam family "Bacterial small subunit ribosomal RNA", at positions 30 to 507 of the family's 1533-position model. The record is from RNAcentral.